This 513-nucleotide long non-coding RNA is filed under the name Homo sapiens (human). RNAcentral describes it as "non-protein coding lnc-SPATA1-4:1". The record is from RNAcentral. Lineage: Eukaryota; Metazoa; Chordata; Mammalia; Primates; Hominidae.
GCAUGUGGCCACUAGCUAGACAGACUUUAGGAGUUGCUAUGGUAACUUUUCCCUUUUUUGCUAACCAUUUGGAAACCUUACAUUUUUCAAAUCUGCAUGCUUUGAAAAGGCCUGCUUGAUUCUACUUUGUUUUUCAAGCUUUGCUUUGAUUUACUGUAUUUAAUUUGCUUCACCUUCUAAUUUGUUAAAUGACAUGUUAUUAAAAUUCCCCAGGGGGCCAGCAGGAAUCUGUGCCGCUGAGAGACAGCAUGCAUUCUGGAAGUCGGUGAUUCACAUCUGAGCACUCAGAGGAGAUUUUGGAAACCCAUUAGGUUAGCAGAGCCGCUCUGGGCAGAAUCAGCGCUGGCAGGGACGCUGCAUUUGACAACUCAAGUCUUUAGGUGAUGCUGAAAAGCCUGCCCUAGCUUCUCAUUUCCUCCGUCCCCCAGCGAAUCGUUCUUUGCUGCUGCUGUCCUCGGUGUGAAAAGGUGACCCCCCCACUGCCCAUCGCACCUGCUUGCUAUCUCUCGUCGG